CGCAGCCGCGGUAAUUCCAGCUCCAAUAGCGUAUAUUAAAGUUGUUGCAGUUAAAAAGCUCGUAGUUGAACCUCGGGAUCAAUGGGUCGGUCAUGCCAAUGGUAUGUACUGGCCUCAUUGGUUCUCACCUUCUAAGGAACCGUGAUGUCAUUCAUUUGAUGUUGCGGGGAAUUAGGACUGUUACCUUGAAAAAAUUAGAGUGUUUAAAGCAGGCCAACGCUUGAAUACAUUAGCAUGGAAUAAUGAAAUAGGACAUCGCAUUCUAUUUUGUUGGUUUCUAGGAUCGAUGUAAUGAUUAAUAGGGAUAGUUGGGGGCAUUAGUAUUCAAUUGUCAGAGGUGAAAUUCUUGGAUUUAUUGAAGACUAACUACUGCGAAAGCAUUUGCCAAGGAUGUUUUCAUUAAUCAAGAACGAAAGUUAGGGGAUCGAAGACGAUCAGAUACCGUCGUAGUCUUAACCAUAAAACUAUGCCGACUAGGGAUCGGAUGAUGUUGUAUUUUUUAAUGUAC
RNAcentral lists this ribosomal RNA (508 nucleotides) under uncultured Glomus. RNAcentral's name for it is "SSU rRNA". It matches the Rfam family "Eukaryotic small subunit ribosomal RNA", at positions 569 to 1079 of the family's 1831-position model. The record is from RNAcentral. Lineage: Eukaryota; Fungi; Glomeromycota; Glomeromycetes; Glomerales; Glomeraceae.